UUAGCUGAGAGGUGGUGCAUGGCCGUCGUCAGUUCGUACUGUGAAGCAUCCUGUUAAGUCAGGCAACGAGCGAGACCCACGCCCACAGUUGCCAGCGUACUCUCCGGAGUGACGGGUACACUGUGGGGACCGCCGCUGCUAAAGCGGAGGAAGGAAUGGGCAACGGUAGGUCAGUAUGCCCCGAAUAUCCCGGGCUACACGCGAGCUACAAUGGUUGGUACAAUGGGUAUCUACCCCGAAAGGGGAUGGAAAUCUCCUAAAGCCAAUCUUAGUCCGGAUUGAGGGCUGCAACUCGCCCUCAUGAAGCUGGAAUCCGUAGUAAUCGCGUUUCAACAGAACGCGGUGAAUACGUCCCUGCUCCUU
RNAcentral lists this ribosomal RNA (363 nucleotides) under uncultured Methanosaeta sp. RNAcentral's name for it is "bacterial SSU rRNA". It matches the Rfam family "Archaeal small subunit ribosomal RNA", at positions 976 to 1338 of the family's 1478-position model. The record is from RNAcentral. Lineage: Archaea; Methanobacteriati; Methanobacteriota; Methanomicrobia; Methanotrichales; Methanotrichaceae.